AGAGGUGGCAAGCGUUGUUCGGAUUUACUGGGCGUAAAGGGUGCGUAGGUGGUUUCGUGUGUCGGAUGUGAAAGCCCACUGCCCAACGGUGGAACUGCAUUCGAAACUGCGGAGCUAGAGUCCAGGAGGGGAGAGCGGAAUUCUUGGUGUAGCGGUGAAAUGCGUUGAUAUCAAGAAGAACACCGGUGGCGAAGGCGGCUCUCUGGAAUGGUACUGACACUGAGGCACGAAAGCUGGGGGGAGCAAACAGGAUUAGAUACCCUAAUAGUCCCAGCCGUAAACUGUGUGCACUUGGUGUGGGCGGUAUUGACCCCGCCCGUGCCGGAGCUAACGCGUUAAGUGCACCGCCUGGGGAGUACGGCCGCAAAGGCUA
RNAcentral lists this ribosomal RNA (373 nucleotides) under uncultured organism. RNAcentral describes it as "partial 16S ribosomal RNA". It matches the Rfam family "Bacterial small subunit ribosomal RNA", at positions 527 to 896 of the family's 1533-position model. The record is from RNAcentral.